RNAcentral lists this ribosomal RNA (497 nucleotides) under uncultured bacterium. RNAcentral describes it as "partial 16S ribosomal RNA". It matches the Rfam family "Bacterial small subunit ribosomal RNA", at positions 28 to 507 of the family's 1533-position model. The record is from RNAcentral.
GACGAACGCUGGCGGCGUGCCUAAUACAUGCAAGUAGAACGCUGAAGAGAGGAGCUUGCUCUUCUUGGAUGAGUUGCGAACGGGUGAGUAACGCGUAGGUAACCUGCCUUGUAGCGGGGGAUAACUAUUGGAAACGAUAGCUAAUACCGCAUAACAAUGGAUGACACAUGUCAUUUAUUUGAAAGGGGCAAUUGCUCCACUACAAGAUGGACCUGCGUUGUAUUAGCUAGUAGGUGAGGUAACGGCUCACCUAGGCGACGAUACAUAGCCGACCUGAGAGGGUGAUCGGCCACACUGGGACUGAGACACGGCCCAGACUCCUACGGGGGGCAGCAGUAGGGAAUCUUCGGCAAUGGGGGCAACCCUGACCGAGCAACGCCGCGUGAGUGAAGAAGGUUUUCGGAUCGUAAAGCUCUGUUGUAAGUCAAGAACGAGUGUGAGAGUGGAAAGUUCACACUGUGACGGUAGCUUACCAGAAAGGGACGGCUAACUACGUG